RNAcentral lists this ribosomal RNA (443 nucleotides) under Polymeridium catapastum. RNAcentral describes it as "mitochondrial SSU rRNA". It matches the Rfam family "Bacterial small subunit ribosomal RNA", at positions 347 to 826 of the family's 1533-position model. The record is from RNAcentral. Lineage: Eukaryota; Fungi; Ascomycota; Dothideomycetes; Trypetheliales; Trypetheliaceae.
AGCAACUUGGGAGAAUGCUUUUUAGUUUAAUAAAUAGUAGCCUAUAUGCCUACUAUUUAUUAUAAUUAAAUAUUCAAAUUUUGAAUAUAGUUCUAGGUAAAAUAUUGAUAAUGACAAAGUUUUAUCUACAUGUCUUGACCAAAUCUUGUGCCAGCAGUCGCGGCAACACAAGGAAGACUAGUGUUAUUCAUCUUAAAUCGGUUUAACGGGUACCUAGACGGUAAAUUAGGCCUUAAUUGGAACGUUUUUACUAGAGUUAUAUAUGCAUGAGGAAUAUGAAGUAUUACCAGAGUAGAGAUAGAAUUUUUUGAUACUGUUAAGACUGGUAAAGGCAAAAGCAAACCUUUAUAUAUUAACUGACGUUGAGGGACGAAGGCUUGGGUAGCAAACAGGAUUAGAUACCCUAAUAGUCCAGGCAGAGAAUUAUGAAUGUCAUAGAUUAU